UUAAGCGACUAAGCGUACACGGUGGAUGCCCUGGCAGUCAGAGGCGAUGAAGGACGUGCUAAUCUGCGAUAAGCGUCGGUAAGGUGAUAUGAACCGUUAUAACCGGCGAUUUCCGAAUGGGGAAACCCAGUGUGUUUCGACACACUAUCAUUACGUGAAUACAUAGCGUAAUGAAGCGAACCGGGGGAACUGAAACAUCUAAGUACCCCGAGGAAAAGAAAUCAACCGAGAUUCCCCCAGUAGCGGCGAGCGAACGGGGAGCAGCCCAGAGUCUGAAUCAGCUUGUGUGUUAGUGGAACGGUCUGGAAAGUCCGACGGUACAGGGUGAUAGUCCCGUACACCAAAAUGCACAGGUUGUGAACUCGAAGAGUAGGGCGGGACACGUGGUAUCCUGUCUGAAUAUGGGGGGACCAUCCUCCAAGGCUAAAUACUCCUGACUGACCGAUAGUGAACCAGUACCGUGAGGGAAAGGCGAAAAGAACCCCGGCGAGGGGAGUGAAAAAGAACCUGAAACCGUGUACGUACAAGCAGUGGGAGCCUCUUUAUGGGGUGACUGCGUACCUUUUGUAUAAUGGGUCAGCGACUUAUAUUCUGUAGCAAGGUUAACCGUAUAGGGGAGCCGAAGGGAAACCGAGUCUUAACUGGGCGUUAAGUUGCAGGGUAUAGACCCGAAACCCGGUGAUCUAGCCAUGGGCAGGUUGAAGGUUGGGUAACACUAACUGGAGGACCGAACCGACUAAUGUUGAAAAAUUAGCGGAUGACUUGUGGCUGGGGGUGAAAGGCCAAUCAAACCGGGAGAUAGCUGGUUCUCCCCGAAAGCUAUUUAGGUAGCGCCUCGUGAACUCAUCUUCGGGGGUAGAGCACUGUUUCGGCUAGGGGGUCAUCCCGACUUACCAACCCGAUGCAAACUGCGAAUACCGAAGAAUGUUAUCACGGGAGACACACGGCGGGUGCUAACGUCCGUCGUGAAGAGGGAAACAACCCAGACCGCCAGCUAAGGUCCCAAAGUCAUGGUUAAGUGGGAAACGAUGUGGGAAGGCACAGACAGCCAGGAUGUUGGCUUAGAAGCAGCCAUCAUUUAAAGAAAGCGUAAUAGCUCACUGGUCGAGUCGGCCUGCGCGGAAGAUGUAACGGGGCUAAACCAUGCACCGAAGCUGCGGCAGCGACACUAUGUGUUGUUGGGUAGGGGAGCGUUCUGUAAGCCGUUGAAGGUGUACUGUGAGGUAUGCUGGAGGUAUCAGAAGUGCGAAUGCUGACAUAAGUAACGAUAAUGCGGGUGAAAAACCCGCACGCCGGAAGACCAAGGGUUCCUGUCCAACGUUAAUCGGGGCAGGGUGAGUCGACCCCUAAGGCGAGGCCGAAAGGCGUAGUCGAUGGGAAACAGGUUAAUAUUCCUGUACUUGGUGUUACUGCGAAGGGGGGACGGAGAAGGCUAUGUUAGCCGGGCGACGGUUGUCCCGGUUUAAGCAUGUAGGCGGAGGUUCCAGGUAAAUCCGGUACCUUUUUAACGCUGAGGUGUGAUGACGAGGCACUACGGUGCUGAAGUAACAAAUGCCCUGCUUCCAGGAAAAGCCUCUAAGCAUCAGGUAACACGAAAUCGUACCCCAAACCGACACAGGUGGUCAGGUAGAGAAUACCAAGGCGCUUGAGAGAACUCGGGUGAAGGAACUAGGCAAAAUGGUGCCGUAACUUCGGGAGAAGGCACGCUGAUAUGUAGGUGAAGUGAUUUACUCAUGGAGCUGAAAUCAGUCGAAGAUACCAGCUGGCUGCAACUGUUUAUUAAAAACACAGCACUGUGCAAACACGAAAGUGGACGUAUACGGUGUGACGCCUGCCCGGUGCCGGAAGGUUAAUUGAUGGGGUUAUCCGUAAGGAGAAGCUCUUGAUCGAAGCCCCGGUAAACGGCGGCCGUAACUAUAACGGUCCUAAGGUAGCGAAAUUCCUUGUCGGGUAAGUUCCGACC
Molecule: ribosomal RNA, 1963 nt
Filed under: Spirochaetales bacterium Spiro_06
Lineage: Bacteria; Pseudomonadati; Spirochaetota; Spirochaetia; Spirochaetales
Description: bacterial LSU rRNA
Rfam family: Bacterial large subunit ribosomal RNA
Source: RNAcentral